This 1329-nucleotide long non-coding RNA is filed under the name Oncorhynchus mykiss (rainbow trout). RNAcentral's name for it is "lncRNA (ENSOMYG00000069216.1)". Lineage: Eukaryota; Metazoa; Chordata; Actinopteri; Salmoniformes; Salmonidae. The record is from RNAcentral.
GUGGCCAUAGACCAAAGCCUUGAUCAUGUUACUAAUUACCUGUCCAAUGUAAUCUGUUACAGCACCGUUACUAAUUACCUGUCCAAUGUAAUCUGUUACAGGACUAAUUACCUGUCCAAUGUAAUCUGUUACAGCACAGUUACUAAUUACCUGUCCAAUGUAAUCUGUUACAGUACUAAUUACCUGUCCAAUGUAAUCUGUUACAGCACCGUUACUAAUUACCUGUCCAAUGUAAUCUGUUACAGCACAGUUACUAAUUACCUGUCCAAUGUAAUCUGUUACAGUAAUAAUUACCUGUCCAAUGUAAUCUGUUACAGCACCGUUACUAAUUACCUGUCCAAUGUAAUCUGUUACAGUACUAAUUACCUGUCCAAUGUAAUCUGUUACAGCACAGUUACUAAUUACCUGUCCAAUGUAAUCUGUUACAGUAAUAAUUACCUGUCCAAUGUAAUCUGUUACAGCACCGUUACUAAUUACCUGUCCAAUGUAAUCUGUUACAGGACUAAUUACCUGUCCAAUGUAAUCUGUUACAGCACAGUUACUAAUUACCUGUCCAAUGUAAUCUGUUACAGCACAGUUACUAAUUACCAGUCCAAUGUAAUCUGUUACAGUACUAAUUACCUGUCCAAUGUAAUCUGUUACAGCACAGUUACUAAUUACCUGUCCAAUGUAAUCUGUUACAGUAAUAAUUACCUGUCCAAUGUAAUCUGUUACAGCACCGUUACUAAUUACCUGUCCAAUGUAAUCUGUUACAGUACUAAUUACCUGUCCAAUGUAAUCUGUUACAGCACAGUUACUAAUUACCUGUCCAAUGUAAUCUGUUACAGUAAUAAUUACCUGUCCAAUGUAAUCUGUUACAGCACCGUUACUAAUUACCUGUCCAAUGUAAUCUGUUACAGGACUAAUUACCUGUCCAAUGUAAUCUGUUACAGCACAGUUACUAAUUACCUGUCCAAUGUAAUCUGUUACAGUAAUAAUUACCUGUCCAAUGUAAUCUGUUACAGCACCGUUACUAAUUACCUGUCCAAUGUAAUCUGUUACAGUACUAAUUACCUGUCCAGUGUAAUCUGUUACAGCACAGUUACUAAUUACCUGUCCAAUGUAAUCUGUUACAGGACUAAUUACCUGUCCAAUGUAAUCUGUUACAGCACAGUUACUAAUUACCUGUCCAAUGUAAUCUGUUACAGCACAGUUACUAAUUACCUGUCCAAUGUAAUCUGUUACAGCACAGUUACUAAUUACCUGUCCAAUGUAAUCUGUUACAGCACAGUUACUAAUUACCUGUCCUAUGUAAUCUGUUAUAGUACCGUUACAAAUUACCUGUCCUAA